UUAAUUUCGUUUCAUCUUAUGUAAAUAUUCCGAGGAAUACUUUUUGGAUGAGUUUCAAUCAGAAUGGUUGGUGUGAUCACACUUGAAACAAGUGGAUUAGAAAUGGUCCCGAGAUUUCGCAAAUAAAUGCGACAUUUCGGGGUUGGAUCAUUCUCCGAAGAAAAAGACCCAUAAUAAUGAAAGUUCCACGUAACCGAAUACAUAUCCAGUUUUACCCGGACAUGAAUUCUUAGAAUUAAGGUGUGGUAAUGAUCCUUCCGCAGGUUCACCUACGGAAA
Molecule: unclassified non-coding RNA, 278 nt
Filed under: uncultured fungus
Lineage: Eukaryota; Fungi
Description: sequence contains ITS1
Source: RNAcentral